AGCGAACGUUUGCGGCGGGCUUAACACAUGCAAGUCGAACGAGAAUCCCUUCGGGGAGGAAAGUGGCGCACGGGUGCGUAACACGUGGAUAACCAACCCAUUGGUUUGGGACAACACCGGGAAACUGGUGCUAAUACCAGAUGUGUCGCAGCUGUCUUCAGGCGGUUGCGAGAAAGGCCCGCAAGGGUCGCCAACGGACGGGUCCGCGUCCCAUCAGCUAGUUGGUGAGGUAAUGGCUCACCAAGGCAAAGACGGGUAGCUGGUCUGAGAGGAUGAUCAGCCACACUGGAACUGAAACACGGUCCAUACACCUACGGGUGGCAGCAGUAGGGAAUAUUGCACAAUGGGCGAAAGCCGGAUGCAGCAACGCCGCGUGUGCGAUGAAGGCCCUCGGGUCGUAAAGCACUUUUCUGAGAGAUGAGCAAGGACAGUGU
Molecule: ribosomal RNA, 434 nt
Filed under: uncultured bacterium
Lineage: Bacteria
Description: bacterial SSU rRNA
Rfam family: Bacterial small subunit ribosomal RNA
Source: RNAcentral